CCUACGGGAGGCAGCAGUGCGGAAUAUUGGUCAAUGGACGAGAGUCUGAACCAGCCAAGUAGCGUGAAGGAUGACUGCCCUAUGGGUUGUAAACUUCUUUUAUAUGGGAAUAAAAUGUUCCACGUGUGGGAUUUUGUAUGUACCAUAUGAAUAAGGAUCGGCUAACUCCGUGCCAGCAGCCGCGGUAAUACGGAGGAUCCGAGCGUUAUCCGGAUUUAUUGGGUUUAAAGGGAGCGUAGGUGGAUUGUUAAGUCAGUUGUGAAAGUUUGCGGCUCAACCGUAAAAUUGCAGUUGAAACUGGCAGUCUUGAGUACAGUAGAGGUGGGCGGAAUUCGUGGUGUAGCGGUGAAAUGCUUAGAUAUCACGAAGAACUCCGAUUGCGAAGGCAGUUCACUGGACUGCAACUGACACUGAGGCUCGAAAGUGUGGGUAUCAAACAGGAUUAGAUACCCGUGUAGUC
This 460-nucleotide ribosomal RNA is filed under the name uncultured bacterium. RNAcentral's name for it is "partial 16S ribosomal RNA". It matches the Rfam family "Bacterial small subunit ribosomal RNA", at positions 338 to 795 of the family's 1533-position model. The record is from RNAcentral.